This 466-nucleotide ribosomal RNA is filed under the name uncultured bacterium. RNAcentral describes it as "partial 16S ribosomal RNA". It matches the Rfam family "Bacterial small subunit ribosomal RNA", at positions 28 to 507 of the family's 1533-position model. The record is from RNAcentral.
GACGAACGCUGGCGGCGUGCUUAACACAUGCAAGUCGAACGGAAAGGCCCUGCUUGCAGGGUACUCGAGUGGCGAACGGGUGAGUAACACGUGGGUGAUCUGCCCUGCACUUCGGGAUAAGCUUGGGAAACUGGGUCUAAUACCGGAUAGGAACCAUCUUUAGUGUGGUGGUUGGAAAGUUUUUUCGGUGUAGGAUGAGCUCGCGGCCUAUCAGCUUGUUGGUGGGGUAAUGGCCUACCAAGGCGGCGACGGGUAGCCGGCCUGAGAGGGUGUACGGCCACAUUGGGACUGAGAUACGGCCCAGACUCCUACGGGAGGCAGCAGUGGGGAAUAUUGCACAAUGGGCGCAAGCCUGAUGCGGCGACGCCGCGUGGGGGAUGAAGGCCUUCGGGUUGUAAACUCCUUUCGCUAGGGACGAAGCUUUGUUGUGACGGUACCUAGAUAAGAAGCACCGGCUAACUACGUG